AUUGAACGCUGGCGACAUGCCUUACACAUGCAAGUCGAACGGCAGCACGGGUGCUUGCACCUGGUGGCGAGUGGCGAACGGGUGAGUAAUACAUCGGAACAUGUCCUGUAGUGGGGGAUAGCCCGGCGAAAGCCGGAUUAAUACCGCAUACGAUCUACGGAUGAAAGCGGGGGACCUUCGGGCCUCGCGCUAUAGGGUUGGCCGAUGGCUGAUUAGCUAGUUGGUGGGGUAAAGGCCUACCAAGGCGACGAUCAGUAGCUGGUCUGAGAGGACGACCAGCCACACUGGGACUGAGACACGGCCCAGACUCCUACGGGAGGCAGCAGUGGGGAAUUUUGGACAAUGGGCGAAAGCCUGAUCCAGCAAUGCCGCGUGCGUGAAGAAGGCCUUCGGGUUGUAAAGCACUUUUGUCCGGAAAGAAAUCCUUGGCCCUAAUACGGUCGGGGGAUGACGGUACCGGAAGAAUAAGCACCGGCUAACUACGU
This 485-nucleotide ribosomal RNA is filed under the name uncultured bacterium. Its description in RNAcentral is "partial 16S ribosomal RNA". It matches the Rfam family "Bacterial small subunit ribosomal RNA", at positions 30 to 506 of the family's 1533-position model. The record is from RNAcentral.